UACGUAGGGUGCGAGCGUUGUCCGGAAUUAUUGGGCGUAAAGAGCUUGUAGGCGGUCUGUCGCGUCUGCUGUGAAAAUCCGGGGCUCAACCCCGGACUUGCAGUGGGUACGGGCAGACUAGAGUGUGGUAGGGGAGACUGGAAUUCCUGGUGUAGCGGUGAAAUGCGCAGAUAUCAGGAGGAACACCUAUUGCGAAGGCAGCUCGCUGGGACGUAACUGACGCUGAGACGCGAAAGCGUGGGGAGCAAACAGG
Molecule: ribosomal RNA, 253 nt
Filed under: uncultured bacterium
Lineage: Bacteria
Description: partial 16S ribosomal RNA
Rfam family: Bacterial small subunit ribosomal RNA
Source: RNAcentral